UAAUCGUUAUUCGCAAAUGGACGUUUUUCCUGUCUUUUUUUCCCCAUUUCUUGUAAAACAGAAGUUGGAAGAGCGACGCCAAUGGACUCGUUUAUUUAUAGUGCGCCACAAUGUCUCGACAUCGGAUUGUAAACAUCAGUGCGGGAAGAACACAGUCUUUAUCAUAUCCAACCGCAAUCUGUGAAACUCCAAAGGAUUAGCAAUAGCCGAUUCGAAGAACUGCAAUCGUCGACAACCGAGUCAAGCUUUGAUUUUGUAUCGAUCCGCUGAUUAACCGGAUAUUUCGAAACGUAAAAAAUUUUCCUCGAACGAUCCGCUAAAUUGAAACGAUUUCUAGUACUUUUGUACUUGUCCAAGGCAUUGGGAAACUACAGGGUUCCGGGAUAAUUCGACAAAUAAAAGAACCAACUAUUA
Hylaeus anthracinus is the source of this 414-nucleotide long non-coding RNA. RefSeq lists it as uncharacterized. The record is from RefSeq and is a predicted model, not a curated record. The transcript has 2 exons. Lineage: Eukaryota; Metazoa; Arthropoda; Insecta; Hymenoptera; Colletidae.